RNAcentral lists this long non-coding RNA (1187 nucleotides) under Zalophus californianus (California sea lion). RNAcentral describes it as "lncRNA (ENSZCAG00015017542.1)". The record is from RNAcentral. Lineage: Eukaryota; Metazoa; Chordata; Mammalia; Carnivora; Otariidae.
GGCAGAGCACGCCUGAAUUCAGCCACUGUGUGUGGGCGCUGAUUCUGGCUUAUAGUCACGUCCCAGUUCAGAAGUCUGAGCCCCCUGCCUCCAUAUCUGGAGGACACCGUGGUUCCUGAAUUCUGAGUUGGCUCACUGGGCUGGAGCCUGCUGCGUGCCUGACCCCAGGAACCUGUCCCCGACAGGAAGGAGAAGUGUAGUCAAGGAAGUGUGGCAGACCUGACUCCAGACAAUUAGAAAAACAUCACCGUGCCUCAUAGUGGAAGGUGAGCAUGACUUCAACUGUACCCUUAAAAAGAAAUGGGGUGGGGAAGGAUGUUUUUCUUUUCUGCCUUAAGAGAGAAGCCGGUCUACCUAACACCCUCCACUCCUCCUAACAGCCUGUAAAUACACACCCAAACCUGGAGAAAAAAUUACAAGCACACUUCCCACCUCGCGGACUAGAAAACACGUUCCACUUGCUCCAUCUAUUCUCUUUUAAAGGUUGGCUCCUUAAUUCUCCUCCCUCAAGACCUGCUGAAGUCAAGUUGCUCAGGGAUUGUUUAGGAGAGAGCUGGGCUGCAGAACAAGCUCAGAAUGCUCAGCUGGUCCUCAUAUCCAUAAUGGAAGGGGUCCAUCACACCCGAGGCUGGGCUUCCUGCCUCCCUCCCAGGACUUUGAGAAAUGUAAAAGGAGAAAAAGUGCACCAACGGCAACAAAAAUAUGUGCCUAUCAUUAAAGCAUAUAAGAAAAAGAAAAGAGAAAAUGGGGGAAAAGAAUGGGAAGUCAAACAUAGGCUAUUAGUUGAGCAUAGGUUCUGGAAUUAGACUACUUGGGUUCAAAUAUUAGCUCUGCUAUGUCCUUGAAGUAUGACCAUGGACACCUCACUUCAUUGUUCCCUGCCUCACUUUUCCUAACUGUACUGCAGUACAAGGACCCACCUCUGUAGACUUCCACAGGGUUAAAUGAGACAGCUCAUGCCUAGGAACGUGGGUUGUCAAUCAUGAAGCAGGUGCUUGGUAGCCAUCAGAAUGACUGCAGGACGGUACAAUGUAUCAGACCAGUACACCUGUAUGAGCUUGGUGUCAUAACACUCUGAUGGGUCCCAAUCAGCUGCGCGAAGCUUCACAACAGAAAUUUGUUAUAAAGUUUAGUUACAGUAUCAAUGUAUAUGAAGGCUCUAUUAAAAGUAAUAAAUUGAUCUGGAA